GACGAACCGAGCGAACGUUGUUCGGAAUCCCUGGGCUUAAAGGGCGCGUAGGCGGGCCGCCGCGUCCGGGGUGAAAUCCUCCCGCUCAACGGGAGAACGGCCUCGGAUACGGGCGGUCUGGAGGGGGGUAGGGGCGUGCGGAACUGUGGGUGGAGCGGUGAAAUGCGCAGAUAUCAGGAAGAACACCAAUGGCGAAGGCAGCUCUCUGGGACGGUACUGACGCUGAGACGCGAAAGCGUGGGGAGCGAACAGG
This 253-nucleotide ribosomal RNA is filed under the name uncultured bacterium. Its description in RNAcentral is "partial 16S ribosomal RNA". It matches the Rfam family "Bacterial small subunit ribosomal RNA", at positions 524 to 776 of the family's 1533-position model. The record is from RNAcentral.